Molecule: ribosomal RNA, 915 nt
Filed under: uncultured fungus
Lineage: Eukaryota; Fungi
Description: eukaryotic LSU rRNA
Rfam family: Eukaryotic large subunit ribosomal RNA (bases 611-915)
Source: RNAcentral
GGAAGGAUCAUUAUUGAAAUAAACCUGAUGAGUUGUUGCUGGUUCUCUAGGGAGCAUGUGCACACUUGUCAUCUUUAUAUCUCCACCUGUGCACCUUUUGUAGACCUGGAUAUCUCUCUGAAUGCUAGCCAUUCGGGUUUGAGGAUUGACUUUUGUGUCUCUCCUUACAUUUCCAGGCCUAUGUUUCUUCAUAUACCCCAAUGUAUGUUAUAGAAUGUAAUCAAUGGGCCUUGUGCCUAUAAACUUAUACAACUUUCAGCAACGGAUCUCUUGGCUCUCGCAUCGAUGAAGAACGCAGCGAAAUGCGAUAAGUAAUGUGAAUUGCAGAAUUCAGUGAAUCAUCGAAUCUUUGAACGCACCUUGCGCUCCUUGGUAUUCCGAGGAGCAUGCCUGUUUGAGUGUCAUUAAUAUAUCAACCUCUUCAGCUUUUGCUUGUCGAGUGUUGGAUGUGGGGGGUUUAUUUUUUGCUGGCCUUCUCAGGUCAGCUCCCCUAAAAUGCAUUAGCGGAACAAUCUGUGGACCGUUCAUUGGUGUGAUAACUAUCUACGCUAUUGACGUUAAGCAGUUCAGCUUCUAAUAGUCCAUUGACUUGGACAAAUUUUCAUUAAUGUGACCUCAAAUCAGGUAGGACUACCCGCUGAACUUAAGCAUAUCAAUAAGCGGAGGAAAAGAAACUAACAAGGAUUCCCCUAGUAACUGCGAGUGAAGCGGGAAAAGCUCAAAUUUAAAAUCUGUCAGUCUUUGGCUGUCCGAGUUGUAAUCUAGAGAAGCAUUAUCCGCGCUGGACCGUGUACAAGUCUCCUGGAAUGGAGCGUCAUAGAGGGUGAGAAUCCCGUCUUUGACACGGACUGCCAGGGCUUUGUGAUGUGCUCUCAAAGAGUCGAGUUGUUUGGGAAUGCAGCUCAAAAUGGGUGG